Molecule: ribosomal RNA, 468 nt
Filed under: uncultured bacterium
Lineage: Bacteria
Description: partial 16S ribosomal RNA
Rfam family: Bacterial small subunit ribosomal RNA
Source: RNAcentral
GACGAACGCUGGCGGCGUGCUUAACACAUGCAAGUCGAACGGAAAGGCCCUGCUUUUGUGGGGUGCUCGAGUGGCGAACUGGUGAGUAACACGUGAGUAACCUGCCCUUGACUUUGGUAUAACUUCAGGAAACUGUGGCUAAUACCGGAUAGGAGCUCCUGCUGCAUGGUGGGGGUUGGAAAGUUUCGGCGGUUGGGUCUGGACUCGCGGCUUAUCAGCUUGUUGGUGGGGUAGUGGCUUACCAAGGCUUUGACGGGUAGCCGGCCUGAGAGGGUGACAGGCCACAUUGGGACUGAGAUAGGGCCAAGACUCAUACGGGAGGAAGCGGUGGGGAAUAUUGCAAAAUGGGCGGAAGCAUGAUGCAGCAACGCCGCGUGCGGGAUGACGGCCUUCGGGUUGUAAACCGCUUUCGCCUGUGACGAAGCGUGAGUGACGGUAAUGGGUAAAGAAGCACCGGCUAACUACGUG